Molecule: long non-coding RNA, 589 nt
Organism: Perca fluviatilis (European perch)
Lineage: Eukaryota; Metazoa; Chordata; Actinopteri; Perciformes; Percidae
Exons: 3
Source: RefSeq, a predicted model, not a curated record
CGACUUUUUUCAAUACAAGCCCCGACUGGAUGCCUGCAAAAAGAAAAAAGCUCCUCCAAUCCUGCCAUUCGGCAGGCUAUGAUGAUCAUCAGCAACCGUGAGGCUACCAGUGCCUCCACUGAGUCUGAGACCUAAUCCUCAAGACAUGGUGCAAAGCUCCCGUGAGUCAGAAUUUGCAUCCUGAAUUAUGAAGUGAGAAAACCUUUACUGGACAAACAGCUGCUUGUGGAAUUCGAAGCUGGACAGUAGGUAUUGUAAAAUCAAAAAACGGAGACAACUCAAAUGUGAAUGAAGGAAAAAGAGACAGUUCAAGAAUGGAAAAGCUUUUGAAGCCAGACAGACUGAUGGGGGGAAAAAAUACAAUUCGCCAAAAUCUGUAUCAGUGAAUGAUUAAUUAAUUUCUGUUGAAUGAUCUGUUCUAGCCUUGCGAGAUAUCAGUUCCCAUUUCUUUAACACUUUUACAUAAGAUCUCCAGAGACGGCUAGUUCAAAAGACGGUUCAAUUUAGAGUUCCCAUCGGAAAUGGUUUCAGAAAGUCUUUGCCAUACGUUGGGCUUUGAUGUGUUUAAACUGUCGUAAUCUUACUGUUC